This is a long non-coding RNA of Sinocyclocheilus grahami, 185 nucleotides long. RefSeq lists it as uncharacterized. Lineage: Eukaryota; Metazoa; Chordata; Actinopteri; Cypriniformes; Cyprinidae. The record is from RefSeq and is a predicted model, not a curated record. The transcript has 3 exons.
GGGUGAUGCUGGCCUAAAUGGGCUUCCAGGACCUAAAGGAGACCCAGGCAGUGCUGGUGUGAAGGGUUUCAGAGGCAGUCCGGGACCUGACGGACACAGCGGAGUAAGAGGAGAUCCUGGUGCACCAGGAAUAGACAACACAAUUCCAGGUCCAAAAGGCGAGAGGGGAGAUACUGGGCUCCCGG